GAUGAAGAACGUAGUGAAAUGCGAUACUUGGUGUGAAUUGCAGAAUCCCGUGAACCAUCGAGUCUUUGAACGCAAGUUGCGCCCGAAGCCAUUAGGCCGAGGGCACGCCUGCCUGGGCGUCACACGUCGUUGCCCCCCCCAUCUACUCCUUUGGGAUUGCGGGGGGCGGAUGAUGGCCUCCCGUGCGCCUCGCCGCGCGGUUGGCAUAAAUGCCAAGUCCUCGGCGACGCACGCCACGACAAUCGGUGGUUGCGAAACCUCGGUUGCCCGUCGUGUGCGGUCGUCGCGCAUCGAGGGCUCGAAAAAAUUGCCGAGUUCCGGCUCGGCUUUCAACGCGACCCCAGGUCAGGCGGGGUUACCCGCUGAAUUUAAGCAUAUCAAUAAGCGGAGGA
RNAcentral lists this unclassified non-coding RNA (392 nucleotides) under soil metagenome. RNAcentral describes it as "partial contains 5.8S ribosomal RNA, internal transcribed spacer 2, and large subunit ribosomal RNA". The stretch from base 1 to 122 matches the Rfam family "5.8S ribosomal RNA", at positions 35 to 154 of the family's 154-position model. The record is from RNAcentral.